GCCCCACUUCUCCACUCUCCCUCCGUCUCUGCCUUGUUCUCCACUUCCACAGGUAGAGAGGAAAGGAACAGCAGAGGACUAGAGAGAGAAACUAUAAAUACACUCACAGUAGAGAGAGAGAGAGAGAGAGAGAGAGGAGAUGGUGGAUGAUUUCAUGGUUUGCGUGGACAGAAUCAUUGCUUCAGCGUGCUUUGAGUCAGUCCAUGGAGAAAGGGACAGAAACAUUGAAGCAACUGCGAAAAAUGAGAGUGUUAUUUCUGUAAAAUGUAACGGAGAAGGCUGUUCUUCUUUUAAGAAGGUGAAAGAGAUGGCGGAAUGUAGGAUUUGCCAGGAGGAAGAUGAGGUUCACUCAAUGGAGGCUCCUUGUGCUUGCAAUGGCACCCUCAAGUUUGCUCAUAGGAAGUGCAUUCAGAGAUGGUGCAACAAAAAGGGAAAUAUCACCUGUGAAAUCUGCAACCAGGUCUUCUCACCAAAUUAUUCUGUUCCACCAGCCUGCAGCAAUCCUGAUGUUAUGGCAAUUGAUAUCAGGCAAGCGUGGCGUGAGUCACAACUUCUAGCUCUAGCAGCUGCUGAGCGUCGGUUACUCCGAUCAGAGUAUGAGGAUUAUGCUGUUGCUAACACAAGCAGCAUUGCUUGUCUUCGAACUAUUGCUGUAACUUUGCUGGUAGUUUUGCUUCUAUUCCAAGCUCUACUGGUUACAAGAGAUGCUGGGUUGGUGCAGGAGUCAUCAACACUCUUCAAUUUUCAGGUUUCUCUUCUUCGAUUUGCCGGCUUUCUUUUGCCAUGUUAUGUGAUGGCCCGAUCAUGCUACGUUGUACAAGGCCGAAGGAGACAGAACAGAACUAACAACUUGGACUUCAGGGGCCGAAGUUAAAAUGAUGUGUGGGGCAUAAAUACAUAAAUGAGCUUAAAUCCAAAGUUUGAGAGUAAUUUGAGGGUUAAGUGUAACAUUGUUGAUACCAUCCUCUUCUGCUCAGAGGGGACAGACAAUUCUUCUCUUCUUUGCUUUUGCUUCUGGGGCAAGCUCUAUUGCUGCCUAUGGCAGUUUUCCAAGUUGUAUUUAAGUUGAAAGAUGUCAAAAUUAAUCUGAAAAAUUGUUCAAGUGUUAGUGUUUUACUUAAGCCACUGGAGAACUCAAAAAGAAAAUGUAAAUGUGAAAAGAGAACAAUGAGUUCUUCAGGUGUUUUCUUUUCUUUUUAUUUGCUCUGUAUGCAUUUUAGUGCAUAGAUGCAAUGAGUAUUAUCAAACUUUUUCCAAGUCUGGUGAAAACGUCAUUGGCCCCAAA
RNA transcript from Hevea brasiliensis (rubber tree), 1285 nucleotides. RefSeq lists it as uncharacterized. Lineage: Eukaryota; Viridiplantae; Streptophyta; Magnoliopsida; Malpighiales; Euphorbiaceae. The transcript has 8 exons. The record is from RefSeq and is a predicted model, not a curated record.